GAGUGAGUAGUUUAGGUGGAGAAUUCUGUUUUUGUAAUACAGGGGUGUAUUUUGUGCUUCGCUCU
RNAcentral lists this transfer RNA (65 nucleotides) under Azygia hwangtsiyui. RNAcentral describes it as "tRNA-Thr". The record is from RNAcentral. Lineage: Eukaryota; Metazoa; Platyhelminthes; Trematoda; Azygiida; Azygiidae.